This 159-nucleotide ribosomal RNA is filed under the name Bulbophyllum insectiferum. RNAcentral's name for it is "5.8S ribosomal RNA". It matches the Rfam family "5.8S ribosomal RNA". From Rfam's summary of the family: 5.8S ribosomal RNA (5.8S rRNA) is a component of the large subunit of the eukaryotic ribosome. It is transcribed by RNA polymerase I as part of the 45S precursor that also contains 18S and 28S rRNA. Lineage: Eukaryota; Viridiplantae; Streptophyta; Magnoliopsida; Asparagales; Orchidaceae. The record is from RNAcentral.
ACACUACUCUGCAAUGGAUAUUCGGCUCUCGCAUCCAUGAAGAGCGCAGCGAAAUGCGAUACGUGGUGAGAAUUGCAGAAUCACGCGAACCAUCGAGUCUUUGAACGCAAGUUGCGCCCGAAGCCAACCGGCCAAGGCACGUCCGCCUGGGCGUCAAGC